Rhipicephalus sanguineus (brown dog tick) is the source of this 855-nucleotide long non-coding RNA. RefSeq lists it as uncharacterized. The transcript is spliced from 4 exons. NCBI's taxonomy places the organism in Eukaryota, Metazoa, Arthropoda, Arachnida, Ixodida, Ixodidae. The record is from RefSeq and is a predicted model, not a curated record.
GUUCGUGUCGUGUGUGUGUCGUCGUGCGAGUUUUGUUCAUACGGUCGACUUUUACCGCGCUGCCUCGCAUUGUGUGUUGUAUGUUGUGGUUACUGACGUAAGCGCAAGUUCGUCACGCAGUGUUAUACGCGGUAGCAGGUAAAUAGUCACCAGAUGCCGGCCGUGCGACUCCAAUCUGCGACUGCUUUGUUCAGUGUGACCGACGGAGGCGAUUCAUAGUUUUGAAGAACACGUUCUUCAAAUGUUUCCGCCCGUCAGUAGGGUGCCUUGAUGCGCGUUUUGUCCGCUCACAUCGAGGCACACUACACGGCAGUGAGUAGCAGCGCUGCAAUCCUUUCUCGACGACGCGUUCUGUGGCCCUGGAAAUGCCUUGACGAUCGGGGACGGCCGGUAGCUCGGCGAUUCCUCGCUUGGCGCACCAUUGAAAACCGGCGGUCAUCCAGCAGUGUACGCUGCCAGCGUAUUUUCAUUGCCAGAGGUAGCAAACAGCAGUGCCACGACAAACAGUGGAGUGCUGACCAUGCAGUCCAGAAGGUGGCUGAGGCAAGUAUGCUAUAGGAGGUGCUUAUUCAGGCAGAAGAAAUAAGCAUCUGCAGCCAACGUAAAGGAAGCAUCUUCAAAAAGCAGUGCUACAAGGAUGUGAGCAGCAGUUUCCCUUCAACGAACGGGUCAAAUUCAUGGAAGCCACGUGCCUGCUGCUUCUGGCCUACACAAAUAUGCAGCCACCAUAGUAAAGUUCUUGCAAAGACGUACAGAAAGGAGCGAAGUGGAGCUGUCCAUGGGCCGUGCACACAGUUUCAUAAGCAGGCUUGCAACACUUUUGACAAAUAUGUUCCUGAAUACAUCUGCCAAAGU